UAGGGAAUCUUCGGCAAUGGGGGGAACCCUGACCGAGCAACGCCGCGUGAGUGAAGAAGGUUUUCGGAUCGUAAAGCUCUGUUGUUAAGGAAGAACGAGUGUGAGAAUGGAAAGUUCAUACUGUGACGGUACUUAACCAGAAAGGGACGGCUAACUACGUGCCAGCAGCCGCGGUAAUACGUAGGUCCCGAGCGUUGUCCGGAUUUAUUGGGCGUAAAGCGAGCGCAGGCGGUUAGGUAAGUCUGAAGUUAAAGGCAGUGGCUCAACCAUUGUAGGCCUUGGAAACUGUUUAACUUGAGUGCAGAAGGGGAGAGUGGAAUUCCAGGUGUAGCGGUGAAAGGCGUAGAUAUAUGGAGGAACAACGGUGGCGAAAGCGGCUCUCUGGUCUGUAACUGACGCUGAGGCUCGAAAGCGUGGGGAGCGAACAGG
This 429-nucleotide ribosomal RNA is filed under the name Bacteroidota bacterium. RNAcentral's name for it is "Bacteroidetes bacterium partial 16S ribosomal RNA". It matches the Rfam family "Bacterial small subunit ribosomal RNA", at positions 355 to 776 of the family's 1533-position model. The record is from RNAcentral. Lineage: Bacteria; Pseudomonadati; Bacteroidota.